CGCGAAGAACCUUACCCGGACUUGACAUGCAGGUGGUACUGAGGCGAAAGCCAAGGGACCCGCAAGGGAGGCAGCCGACCACGGUAGGGUCAGCGACUGGGUG
Molecule: ribosomal RNA, 103 nt
Filed under: uncultured bacterium
Lineage: Bacteria
Description: partial 16S ribosomal RNA
Source: RNAcentral